ACUCUAGAUUCUAGUUAUCAGUUUUAUUUUGGGUGCAGUCUCUAAAGCAGUUUUCAAUCUCUGCACACCAUAUUACCUGAAGAAAAAGACUGCCUUUUGGUUACCAAGUGCUGUGGGGUCCCCAACUCACUAGCUUAUCCUUACUUAAGUGGACUUAACACAGCUAUGAGUUAUUAGUAACUAGUUUCACCAUAUUCGUGACUUAGGAUUUUCUAUGGCCAGUGUAUCAAGAAUCUAAAAAAUGAUGCUAGUUCCCAUUCAUCUUGCUAUUAGCUUUGGUCAUAAAAUUUGGGAGGGGGGGACAUUUUGAUCUGUAUAAAGUUUGCUAAAAGGUAUUUGAUGGUUUUGCCCAGAUAACUCCCCUAACUACCUCUCCCUCUAUGUUUCUUUGUUUUUGUUUGGUUUUGGUGCUGGGGAUUGAAGCCAGAGCCUCAUAUGCUAGGCACAUAUUCUACCACUGAAAUAUACUCCUAGCCCCAUCUAGGUUUGAAGUACUCCUAUGUAGACUGUUUUAAGUCAAGUAUAUAACAAACCAGAACUUGUGUAAAUAUAUGACUAUGUUAUAGGAAACGAAGUUACACAUUCUUUGUUCAGAAUAGUAAUGGAGAGAAUAUGUAAUUACAUGAAAUGAUAAACUAAAUUAUCUAUUAAUAUUUUGGGGAGUCUUUAAUUUAACCUUUGCCCUCCACCCAAAAUGGAACAUUCCUUUAGUCCAUCAUAUAAUCACUCCAUUUUAAGUGAAGAGUUUUUUCUUAGCUUUGACCAGUAAUUUAUAAAGAAAGCAAAUUUAUUUCUCACACUUUUGGAAGUUGGGAAAUCCCAAGUGUAAGGGCUAGCAUCUGGUAAGGAGCUUCAUGAUAUAGCAUCUCAUGGCAGAAGGUGGAAGAGCAAGAGAAGACAUUCACAUGUAGGCCAGGGAGUGGGAGGAAGGGGUAUAAAUUCACUCUUUUAUUCAUAACCUACUCCAUCUAUAACAACAUCAAUCUGUUCAUGGAGGAAGAAUUCUCCAGAUGGAUCACCUCUUAAGGGUCCCAUCUCUAAAGAGUUGGAUUGGGGAUCUCCAACCCAUGAACUGGGGAAUAAUAGAUACCAAAGCCAUAGCAGCCCAUACAAUAGCAGUUUUGUCUUUGUUACGAAUUGUCACAUUUUAGGAAGAUAUAUAUUGAGAUGUCGGAAUUUUUUUCACCAUUGCACUGGAGGGAUCUGUG
RNAcentral lists this long non-coding RNA (1208 nucleotides) under Marmota monax (woodchuck). Lineage: Eukaryota; Metazoa; Chordata; Mammalia; Rodentia; Sciuridae. The record is from RNAcentral.